Molecule: long non-coding RNA, 305 nt
Filed under: Rattus norvegicus (Norway rat)
Lineage: Eukaryota; Metazoa; Chordata; Mammalia; Rodentia; Muridae
Description: long non-coding RNA NONRATT019799
Source: RNAcentral
GCAACCAGGAACUGGUGGCUGCUGCCACCUACCAGUUUUUCCUUUCACCCUAUUCCCUAAUCAGGCAUGGGCCCCUUUCCACCUAGGUAGACUGGGUCUACCGGGGGGCCAGGGAGGCAUCUCCCACCUGCUCCCUGUCUCAGCUCCUCCCAGGACUCCCAGGGCAGACCCGGGCCCUUGCUGAUGUAGGGUGCAAAUAGGGCAGCCAAGCAAGGCUGAUGCCAGGCAACCAAACAAAAAAUGACAAAGGUUUGGGUCAUGGUACCAACUAACAAGUGAAAAUUUAUUUGACUACAAAAAAAAAA